Oxyura jamaicensis (ruddy duck) is the source of this 1018-nucleotide long non-coding RNA. RefSeq lists it as uncharacterized. The transcript is spliced from 3 exons. NCBI's taxonomy places the organism in Eukaryota, Metazoa, Chordata, Aves, Anseriformes, Anatidae. The record is from RefSeq and is a predicted model, not a curated record.
UAGAACCUGUUCAGGACAUCCUAGCAUCAGAGUAACAGCUGAGAGUGGACUGGGUAUUUCAGGACCUCCAGGCAGGUAUGCAAAGGAUUGCUGUGAUGCCAGAGCACUGACUGAGGGAGCAGCUAGUGAUAUUUUAGGAAAGGUUGAGUACUGAAAUAGUUUUAGGAGUCUGUGGACAGAAAACACAUAGUUAAAUGACACCUUCAGGGCCUGUGAGUUAAGUCUCCUCCUCCCUUCUUCUCCUAGGAUAUCCCUCCUCUAUUUUCUUCCUUCCUUCCAUCCAUCCGAGAUUUAAAACUUUUGCUCUGCUGCUCUUCCUGACACCUGCAAAUGAUUCUUUCUCCAUGGAGACAUUUGAUCCUACCCACAUGCACUUUCUGCUUGCUUUCUCCCUCCUCCCUAUUUCAGGGGUCACACGCACAGAUAUUCAAUUAUCCUGACUACCUGCUGGGACUGCCCAUGCCUCCAACUGGCCCAUGGGCAGGGUGGUCCAGAAGGGCUUUCUUCAGGGAAGCUGCAGCUGUGUCAGAUAAAAGAGCAGCAGCAGCUGGGAAAGAUAGUAACACAAAGUAGUGUGAUUACCUUCUGUGUUUCCUGGUGUUAGGCCUGCAUUGCAUAUAUUUAAGGUUGUGAGAAUUUUUUCCCUUGAAGUGUGUCUGGCAGAUGUGAUUUUGAUAUGAAAUGGGACCAAGCUGGAGAAUGACUUUGUUCUGAAGUGAGAUGUUUGCAUCUCUUGACACUUAAUGAACCACCACAGUCUUCUCUGGAUGACUGGGUGACUCUUUAUGGGAUGUGAAACAGCACAAGAACCUCCUGAAGUAGCCUCCUGGUGUUCCUUUAGGCUGUUGGGUAGAAGAGAGCAGGCUGACUUUGGGAAACAAAAAGAAUGGAGAGAUCAGCCAGCUUGCUGGGAAGUACUGGCCACGUAGUUGUUGAAAGACAAUAAAUUUCUAUUUGAGAGAAUAGCAAUUAGUUUAUAACUCCUCCUACAUUUGUAUAAGAAAGCUUAUUUGUGCAA